This 1342-nucleotide ribosomal RNA is filed under the name uncultured bacterium. RNAcentral's name for it is "16S ribosomal RNA". It matches the Rfam family "Bacterial small subunit ribosomal RNA", at positions 28 to 1378 of the family's 1533-position model. The record is from RNAcentral.
GACGAACGCUGGCGGCGUGCUUACACAUGCAAGUCGAACGGAAAGGCCCUGCUUUUGUGGGGUGCUCGAGUGGCGAACGGGUGAGUAACACGUGAGUAACCUGCCCUUGACUUUGGGAUAACUUCAGGAAACUGGGGCUAAUACCGGAUAGGAGCUCCUGCUGCAUGGUGGGGGUUGGAAAGUUUCGGCGGUUGGGGAUGGACUCGCGGCUUAUCAGCUUGUUGGUGGGGUAGUGGCUUACCAAGGCAUUGACGGGUAGCCGGCCUGAGAGGGUGACCGGCCACAUUGGGACUGAGAUACGGCCCAGACUCCUACGGGAGGCAGCAGUGGGGAAUAUUGCACAAUGGGCGGAAGCCUGAUGCAGCAACGCCGCGUGCGGGAUGACGGCCUUCGGGUUGUAAACCGCUUUCGCCUGUGACGAAGCGUGAGUGACGGUAAUGGGUAAAGAAGCACCGGCUAACUACGUGCCAGCAGCCGCGGUGAUACGUAGGGUGCGAGCGUUGUCCGGAUUUAUUGGGCGUAAAGGGCUCGUAGGUGGUUGAUCGCGUCGGAAGUGUAAUCUUGGGGCUUAACCCUGAGCGUGCUUUCGAUACGGGUUGACUUGAGGAAGGUAGGGGAGAAUGGAAUUCCUGGUGGAGCGGUGGAAUGCGCAGAUAUCAGGAGGAACACCAGUGGCGAAGGCGGUUCUCUGGGCCUUUCCUGACGCUGAGGAGCGAAAGCGUGGGGAGCGAACAGGCUUAGAUACCCUGGUAGUCCACGCUGUAAACGGUGGGUACUAGGUGUGGGGUCCAUUCCACGGGUUCCGUGCCGUAGCUAACGCUUUAAGUACCCCGCCUGGGGAGUACGGCCGCAAGGCUAAAACUCAAAGGAAUUGACGGGGCCCCGCACAAGCGGCGGAGCAUGCGGAUUAAUUCGAUGCAACGCGUAGAACCUUACCUGGGUUUGACAUGGAUCGGGAGUGCUCAGAGAUGGGUGUGCCUCUUUUGGGGUCGGUUCACAGGUGGUGCAUGGCUGUCGUCAGCUCGUGUCGUGAGAUGUUGGGUUAAGUCCCGCAACGAGCGCAACCCUUGUUCACUGUUGCCAGCACGUUAUGGUGGGGACUCAGUAGAGACCGCCGGGGUCAACUCGGAGGAAGGUGGGGAUGACGUCAAGUCAUCAUGCCCCUUAUGUCCAGGGCUUCACGCAUGCUACAAUGGCUGGUACAGAGAGUGGCGAGCCUGUGAGGGUGAGCGAAUCUCGGAAAGCCGGUCUCAGUUCGGAUUGGGGUCUGCAACUCGACCUCAUGAAGUCGGAGUCGCUAGUAAUCGCAGAUCAGCAACGCUGCGGUGAAUACGUUCCCGGG